This 118-nucleotide ribosomal RNA is filed under the name Anolis carolinensis (green anole). Lineage: Eukaryota; Metazoa; Chordata; Lepidosauria; Squamata; Anolidae. The record is from RNAcentral.
AUUUUGGGAAGCACUGCUUUUAAGGCAUCAGAUCCUGUCUGAUCUUGGAAGCUAAGCAGGAUCAGCUUUGGUUAGUACUUGAAUGGGACACCACAAGUGAAUGUCAGUUGCUAUAGUU